RNAcentral lists this ribosomal RNA (684 nucleotides) under uncultured marine stramenopile. RNAcentral's name for it is "bacterial SSU rRNA". It matches the Rfam family "Eukaryotic small subunit ribosomal RNA", at positions 412 to 1132 of the family's 1831-position model. The record is from RNAcentral.
CAUCCAGGAAGGCAGCGGCGCGCAAUACCCAUCCUGAAACGGGGAGGUAGUGACAAGAAAUACAAUACGGAACCAUUGGUUUUGUAAUUGGAAUGAGAACAAAUUAAAACCAUUAACGAGGAUCAAUUGGAGGGCAAGCCUGGUGCCAGCAGCCGCGGUAAUUCCAGCUCCAAUAGCGUAUAUUAAAGUUGUUGCAGUUAAAAAGCUCGUAGUUGAAAUUCUGCUGAAACCAACUAUCAGUUGGUGAAGGCUUAACUCACAAAGUCAGGUAUGGCCAUUAGUUUGGUCAUAUUUUGAGUUGUGUCGUUUACUGUGGACAAAUUAGGGUGCUCAAAGCAGACCUGUGUUUGAAUACAUUAGCAUGGAAUAAUAAGAUACGACUUCAGUUGAAUCUUGUUGGUGUCAAAAGAAGUAAUGAUUGAAAGAAACAAUUGUGGGUAUUCGUAUGAGCAUGUCAGAGGUGAAAUUCUUGGAUUUUGGUCAGACGAACUACUGCGAAAGCAUUUACCAAGGAUGUUUUCAUUAUUCNAGAACGAAAGUUAGGGGACCGAAGAUGAUUAGAUACCAUCGUAGGUCUUAACCAUAAACUAUGCCGACUAGGGAUUGAUGGAUGUGCUAAAAAACAUCAUCAGUACCUCGUGAGAAAUCAAAGUCUUUGGGUUCCCGGGGGGAGGUAUGGUCCGC